This is a long non-coding RNA of Penaeus indicus, 357 nucleotides long. RefSeq lists it as uncharacterized. The transcript is spliced from 2 exons. The record is from RefSeq and is a predicted model, not a curated record. Lineage: Eukaryota; Metazoa; Arthropoda; Malacostraca; Decapoda; Penaeidae.
AAAUUGAAGCAUCUACCUGGAACAAGAACAUCAAGAAGGGAUUGCUCCGUGCCAGUAUGACAGACUUUCGAUAGGUUCAAGCUUGGCCGUGCAAAGCAAGCAAGGAACAAGAUUGUCAAGUCUGCCUAUCUGCGUUUGAAGAAGAACAUCCUGGUUGCCCAAGCGACCAACAGUAAAGGCAGCCAGGAAAAUCAGGGGACAGAAAUUGGCAAGAAGAAGGAACUCAAGGAGAAGAAGCCCAAGACCUGGAAGCCAAGGAAGACCAGAGGCCCCAGGGCAGCCAGAAACAAGGACGGCAAGCCUGCAAAGACAGUCAAGGCUUGCAAAGUAGAUUUUUGACUGAAUAAAGAGAGAAAA